GUGUUUUUAAGCCCGGGAUUUCGGGAUCUGGAUCCCUCCUUCCCUCCUCCCUCUAUUAUGGUUAAAGAAAAGAGGUCACGGAAGUUUUGUGAUACUUGUAACUGCAAUUUAAUAUUUAGUGGAAUGAGAGGUGAAAUGUGUUCAGACUAUUACAUUUCGAUUUUUUUUUUUUUAAAUUUAACCACAGUUUACUGCAAGGGGUGUUUAACGACCUCGAUGAUUAUCCA
Molecule: long non-coding RNA, 227 nt
Filed under: Mytilus galloprovincialis (Mediterranean mussel)
Lineage: Eukaryota; Metazoa; Mollusca; Bivalvia; Mytilida; Mytilidae
Source: RNAcentral